Molecule: long non-coding RNA, 565 nt
Filed under: Sorghum bicolor (sorghum)
Lineage: Eukaryota; Viridiplantae; Streptophyta; Magnoliopsida; Poales; Poaceae
Description: long non-coding RNA (SBIC_LNC017190)
Source: RNAcentral
CCGCUUGCAUCAAGUGCUCUAGUCUUUGAAACGCUAGAGUAGUAAUUGUAACACCCAAAAUUUUAUUUCGGAUUAAUAGGAUUUAAUUUGAUUUAAUUAAGUAUUUUUGUGAGCAUUUAAAGUUAGCACUUAAAUAAUUUUGUGGAAAAUAAAAUUUAUCAUAAGUUUUAGAAAUAUGUUUUUCGCAUUCAUGUUGGAGCACAUUUUAUUCUAUGCUUGUUUUUGGUGAGAAUUUACUUUUGCAUUCAAAACUCUCUUAGGAAAAGGCUUUGGAAAAAAAAAAUAAUUUGGAAAGAAAAAAAAAAGAGAAAGCUCCUGGAAUCCAGGCUGAGGCCCAGCUCCCCUCACCCCCAGCCUGCUCCUUUUCUUUUCCCCCUGCGCGCGGCCCAGGAAACCUCCCGAGGCCCAGCAACCCCGCGGCCCGCAUCCCUCCCCUCUUUCCUCUCUUUGCACCGCUGACAACCGGGGCCCGCAUGGCAGCGCCCACUCCUUCCCCUACCACUUGUCGUGGCCGGGUAGGAAUCGGUUGGAAGCAACCGAUCCCGAGCCAACUCCCAAAUCCCGA